CUCCUGUUUGACAACAGCCCGCCAGCAAGAGCUCACAGCUAGCAGCUCUGAGAAUAUGCACUGGAGACAAAACUUACGUCAAAGGCAACGCGGGGCUUCCAGUUUAGCUUCUGCUGAGCCUUGGAGCAGUCUCCCUGCAGAAAGUCCUGUGGAGAGAUGGCAGAUGAGCUGUGCAUGCAUGGGCUUGUCAUACCCCUUGCCCAAUCUGUCUCAUCAGGUACUUACCAUCGGGUCAGCUAGGACCUUGCAAGUCCACUUUCAGAGAAGAGUGCUGACAACCACUGACACGGCCCAGGAGUGGGCCUUAACAUACAGCACAGAGCCAAGCCUAAUCGGCUUGCUCGGCUCUGACUUUACCGGGGGAAACACAUGUGGAUUCAGGCUUCCUGGAGAAUUCUAGCAAGAGAAGUUCACAAUUAUUCAUUUAAGAGGUUUCCUUGGAAAGAAGACUGGCAACAAACAAGAAACAGAAGAGAAGAAAAUCCUCUAUCUUGGCCCUCACUCACAGUUCUUUAUUGCAGGUCUCAAGACUAGUGGGAAUUUCAAGAUAAGAUGAAAGGGAAGAGAGGAAAGGAAGAAAAAAGCAGGGAACUCCAGUUAGGUCUAUUCGUAUGAGGAUACCAUAUGAAUAUGCCAAGACUCAAAAUAACCAGGGACUGGGCAGGAAGGGAGGGGGGAGGUGAUCUUUAUAGUGAUAAGUAUUACAUUAAGGCACUUUAUUUUAGCAGUACACUAUUGGACAAGUGAACCAUCCCUCUGAGUGACAGCCACCGAUAAUCGUAACCAUGCUGCAGUAAAAGGCUUCUCCUGCUCUCAGUCUCCUGAACUCGGCAGGCAAAGGCAUUUUAUUCUGGAUUUCAGAUGGGUAGGCUGGGGUUAGGUAUAAGCUAUCUGUGUGUGCACACAAUGUGCUCACCUGGGCCUUCCAAGCAGAGGCGGUCUGGAUUCCCUUUCCCAGCCUGACUCUUACUCAAGCAGAGGACAUUCAGGGACUCUCCUUCUCAAUCAUCCAGCAUUGCUUUUUAGGCUUGAAUAAAUCAAAUUCCCAAAGGCUUUGCAUUUCACAAUAUGCUGAAGUACCCACUUCCUCCCCAGAGUGUUCACCAGAGUGAAGCAAGUUAUUUCUGCAGGCCUAAAAGCCCAUUUCCAGACUCCCCAGGAAAGGUAGGAUACCAGAAUUAGUAAUUUGCGUUUAUAGCACAGUGCUACCUGGAGCUGCCAGUGUAGGUGAAAAAAACAAACCAAGUAAUUUAUUUCUCUUUUCUCUCCCUAAAUAAACUUGAAUAUCCUUUUA
This 1294-nucleotide long non-coding RNA is filed under the name Mus musculus (house mouse). Its description in RNAcentral is "predicted gene, 56587". The record is from RNAcentral. Lineage: Eukaryota; Metazoa; Chordata; Mammalia; Rodentia; Muridae.